CAGCCGCCGCGGUGAAACGUAGGUCCCGAGCGUUGUCCGGAUUUAUUGGGCGUAAAGCGAGCGCAGGCGGAUCAGUUGGUCUGUCUUAAAAGUUCGGGGCUUAACCCCGUGAUGGGAUGGAAACUGCUGAUCUAGAGUAUCGGAGAGGAAAGUGGAAUUCCUAGUGUAGCGGUGAAAUGCGUAGAUAUUAGGAAGAACACCAGUGGCGAAGGCGACUUUCUGGACGAAAACUGACGCUGAGGCGCGAAAGCUAGGGGAGCGAACGGGAUUAGAUACCCGUGUAGUCCCUGUCUCUUAUACA
Molecule: ribosomal RNA, 301 nt
Filed under: uncultured bacterium
Lineage: Bacteria
Description: partial 16S ribosomal RNA
Rfam family: Bacterial small subunit ribosomal RNA
Source: RNAcentral